UGAGGAAUAUUGCGCAAUGGGGGCAACCCUGACGCAGCGACGCCGCGUGAGUGAGGAAGGCCUUCGGGUCGUAAAGCUCUGUCAAAGGGAAAGAAGUGUGCAAUGGCUAAUACCUGUUGCAUUUGACGGUACCCUUAAAGGAAGCACCGGCUAACUCCGUGCCAGCAGCCGCGGUAAUACGGGGGGUGCAAGCGUUGUUCGGAAUUAUUGGGCGUAAAGAGCGUGUAGGCGGCUGAAUAAGUCAGAUGUGAAAUCCCUGGGCUUAACCCAGGAAGUGCAUUUGAAACUAUUCAGCUUGAGUAGGGGAGAGGAGAGCGGAAUUCCAGGUGUAGCGGUGAAAUGCGUAGAUAUCUGGAAGAACACCAGUGGCGAAGGCGGCUCUCUGGCCUAGAACUGACGCUGAAGCGCGAAAGCGUGGGGAGCGAACA
Molecule: ribosomal RNA, 428 nt
Filed under: uncultured prokaryote
Description: bacterial SSU rRNA
Rfam family: Bacterial small subunit ribosomal RNA
Source: RNAcentral